Molecule: ribosomal RNA, 240 nt
Filed under: uncultured bacterium
Lineage: Bacteria
Description: partial 16S ribosomal RNA
Rfam family: Bacterial small subunit ribosomal RNA
Source: RNAcentral
UGAGCAAUCUGCCCUUCACAUCGGAAUAACCAUUGGAAACGAUGGCUAAUACCGGAUAUGACCUUGGGAUGCAUGUCCUUUGGUGGAAAGCUUUUGCGGUGUGGGAUGGGCCCGAGGCCUAUCAGCUUGUUGGUGGGGUUAAGGCCUACCAAGGCGACGACGGGUAGCCGGCCUGAGAGGGCGACCGGCCACACUGGGACUGAGACACGGCCCAGACUCCUACGGGAGCAGNAGGUAGGG